Molecule: long non-coding RNA, 648 nt
Filed under: Mytilus galloprovincialis (Mediterranean mussel)
Lineage: Eukaryota; Metazoa; Mollusca; Bivalvia; Mytilida; Mytilidae
Source: RNAcentral
CUGGGUUAUUUUAAGUUCCAAUUCAUUCUAUUCCGUUUAGUUCCUUUCUACAUAAGUGCAGAGGAGAACUACAAUUGUCUAUGGUGGCCGGUGAAGUCCAUUUCGCGUUUUCGCCUUUCAUAUUCUAUAGGGCGAAAACGCGAAAUCGCGAAAAGGCGAAAACGCAAAAACGCGAAGUCGACUUUGCAAUUUCGCGUUUUCGUCAUAUAGAAUAUGUAAGGUGAAAACGCUAAAGUGCUAAAACGCAAAAUGGCAUUAACCUGCCACCAUGGUUGUCCGCAUGUAAACUUCUAGAAUUUGUCACCAAUAUAAGAACAUCGCAAUCCGUUACUGUUUCAACAGCCAUCGGUGUUUCAUGUGUUAUUCUUAAAACAAGUAUUAUUUUUCUCUCGUUUUUAGCAAUGUAUCACUCUCUACUGUCCUUAUAUAUUAUUCUAUAUUCUGCGUUUCCAUCCAGAUUAUCGUGUAUACCAUGAGGGUCUGGAUUGGGGGUGUUGUUUAUUUAUGUAUAAAUUGUUAUGUCAUUUUUUUUCUAUAUUUUAUUUAUCUUCUUAUUAUUCUUUCUUUAUUUUUCAUAUUUUGUCAUCCCAAUAUAUUGUACUUACUGAUGUUUAGUUACAUUACGACGUUUAUAUCGGAUUUAUAUAC